RNAcentral lists this ribosomal RNA (2907 nucleotides) under Klebsiella grimontii. RNAcentral's name for it is "23S ribosomal RNA". It matches the Rfam family "Bacterial large subunit ribosomal RNA". Lineage: Bacteria; Pseudomonadati; Pseudomonadota; Gammaproteobacteria; Enterobacterales; Enterobacteriaceae. The record is from RNAcentral.
GGUUAAGCGACUAAGCGUACACGGUGGAUGCCCUGGCAGUCAGAGGCGAUGAAGGACGUGCUAAUCUGCGAAAAGCGUCGGUAAGGUGAUAUGAACCGUUACAGCCGGCGAUGUCCGAAUGGGGAAACCCAGUGCAAUUCGUUGCACUAUCGUUUGAUGAAUACAUAGUCAAACGAGGCGAACCGGGGGAACUGAAACAUCUAAGUACCCCGAGGAAAAGAAAUCAACCGAGAUUCCCCCAGUAGCGGCGAGCGAACGGGGAGCAGCCCGGAGUCUGAAUCAGCUUGUGUGUUAGUGGAAGCGUCUGGAAAGUCGCAGGGUACAGGGUGAUACUCCCGUACACUAAAACGCACAGGCUGUGAACUCGAAGAGUAGGGCGGGACACGUGGUAUCCUGUCUGAAUAUGGGGGGACCAUCCUCCAAGGCUAAAUACUCCUGACUGACCGAUAGUGAACCAGUACCGUGAGGGAAAGGCGAAAAGAACCCCGGCGAGGGGAGUGAAAAAGAACCUGAAACCGUGUACGUACAAGCAGUAGGAGCCCACUUGUUGGGUGACUGCGUACCUUUUGUAUAAUGGGUCAGCGACUUAUAUUCUGUAGCAAGGUUAACCGUAUAGGGGAGCCGCAGGGAAACCGAGUCUUAACUGGGCGUUAAGUUGCAGGGUAUAGACCCGAAACCCGGUGAUCUAGCCAUGGGCAGGUUGAAGGUUGGGUAACACUAACUGGAGGACCGAACCGACUAAUGUUGAAAAAUUAGCGGAUGACUUGUGGCUGGGGGUGAAAGGCCAAUCAAACCGGGAGAUAGCUGGUUCUCCCCGAAAGCUAUUUAGGUAGCGCCUCGUGAACUCAUCUUCGGGGGUAGAGCACUGUUUCGGCUAGGGGGUCAUCCCGACUUACCAACCCGAUGCAAACUACGAAUACCGAAGAAUGUUAUCACGGGAGACACACGGCGGGUGCUAACGUCCGUCGUGAAGAGGGAAACAACCCAGACCGCCAGCUAAGGUCCCAAAGUCAUGGUUAAGUGGGAAACGAUGUGGGAAGGCCCAGACAGCCAGGAUGUUGGCUUAGAAGCAGCCAUCAUUUAAAGAAAGCGUAAUAGCUCACUGGUCGAGUCGGCCUGCGCGGAAGAUGUAACGGGGCUAAACCAUGCACCGAAGCUGCGGCAGCGACGCUUAUGCGUUGUUGGGUAGGGGAGCGUUCUGUAAGCCGUUGAAGGUGGCCUGUGAGGGUUGCUGGAGGUAUCAGAAGUGCGAAUGCUGACAUAAGUAACGAUAAUGCGGGUGAAAAACCCGCACGCCGGAAGACCAAGGGUUCCUGUCCAACGUUAAUCGGGGCAGGGUGAGUCGACCCCUAAGGCGAGGCCGAAAGGCGUAGUCGAUGGGAAACAGGUUAAUAUUCCUGUACUUGGUGUUACUGCGAAGGGGGGACGGAGAAGGCUAUGUUGGCCGGGCGACGGUUGUCCCGGUUUAAGCGUGUAGGUGUGUGUUCCAGGUAAAUCCGGUUCACUUUAACACUGAGGCGUGAUGACGAGGCACUACGGUGCUGAAGUGACAAAUGCCCUGCUUCCAGGAAAAGCCUCUAAGCAUCAGGUAACAUCAAAUCGUACCCCAAACCGACACAGGUGGUCAGGUAGAGAAUACCAAGGCGCUUGAGAGAACUCGGGUGAAGGAACUAGGCAAAAUGGUGCCGUAACUUCGGGAGAAGGCACGCUGAUAUGUAGGUGAAGUGGUUUACCCAUGGAGCUGAAAUCAGUCGAAGAUACCAGCUGGCUGCAACUGUUUAUUAAAAACACAGCACUGUGCAAACACGAAAGUGGACGUAUACGGUGUGACGCCUGCCCGGUGCCGGAAGGUUAAUUGAUGGGGUUAUCCGUAAGGAGAAGCUCUUGAUCGAAGCCCCGGUAAACGGCGGCCGUAACUAUAACGGUCCUAAGGUAGCGAAAUUCCUUGUCGGGUAAGUUCCGACCUGCACGAAUGGCGUAAUGAUGGCCAGGCUGUCUCCACCCGAGACUCAGUGAAAUUGAACUCGCUGUGAAGAUGCAGUGUACCCGCGGCAAGACGGAAAGACCCCGUGAACCUUUACUAUAGCUUGACACUGAACACUGGUCCUUGAUGUGUAGGAUAGGUGGGAGGCUUUGAAGUGUGGACGCCAGUCUGCAUGGAGCCAUCCUUGAAAUACCACCCUUUAAUGGCUGGUGUUCUAACGUGGGCCCGUAAUCCGGGUUGCGGACAGUGUCUGGUGGGUAGUUUGACUGGGGCGGUCUCCUCCUAAAGAGUAACGGAGGAGCACGAAGGUCAGCUAAUCCUGGUCGGACAUCAGGAGGUUAGUGCAAUGGCAUAAGCUGGCUUGACUGCGAGCGUGACGGCGCGAGCAGGUGCGAAAGCAGGUCAUAGUGAUCCGGUGGUUCUGAAUGGAAGGGCCAUCGCUCAACGGAUAAAAGGUACUCCGGGGAUAACAGGCUGAUACCGCCCAAGAGUUCAUAUCGACGGCGGUGUUUGGCACCUCGAUGUCGGCUCAUCACAUCCUGGGGCUGAAGUAGGUCCCAAGGGUAUGGCUGUUCGCCAUUUAAAGUGGUACGCGAGCUGGGUUUAGAACGUCGUGAGACAGUUCGGUCCCUAUCUGCCGUGGGCGCUGGAGAAUUGAGGGGGGCUGCUCCUAGUACGAGAGGACCGGAGUGGACGCAUCACUGGUGUUCGGGUUGUCAUGCCAAUGGCAUUGCCCGGUAGCUAAAUGCGGAAGAGAUAAGUGCUGAAAGCAUCUAAGUACGAAACUUGCCCCGAGAUGAGUUCUCCCUGACUCCUUGAGAGUCCUGAAGGAACGUUGAAGACGACGACGUUGAUAGGCCGGGUGUGUAAGCGCAGCGAUGCGUUGAGCUAACCGGUACUAAUGAACCGUGAGGCUUAACCUU